CCUUCCAAGCCACUGGCAGCUGUCUCACCUUAGUCUCUCCCCACUCCUUGGAUCUCUGAGAACUCUGGCACUGGGGAAAGGACGUCGCUCAGUGGCAAAGCAUCUACUCUGCGUGCAAAAGGUCCCAGGCUCAAUCCCCAGCAUCUACAGAAUUCCUUCCAGUCUGCUGAUAUCUACUCCUUGUGCCUGGAUGGUGCCAUUUGGGCAACGUAAAGACUGGUACCCAGAGAACAUCCCCAGGAACACCAGACUCAAAUCUUGAUUUUACCUAUAGCUGCAGUCCCCUUUCACUUGUGGUCUAUCCCUGUGUUCUGAUUCUUCAUAAA
Rhineura floridana is the source of this 326-nucleotide long non-coding RNA. RefSeq lists it as uncharacterized. The record is from RefSeq and is a predicted model, not a curated record. NCBI's taxonomy places the organism in Eukaryota, Metazoa, Chordata, Lepidosauria, Squamata, Rhineuridae. The transcript is spliced from 3 exons.